AAAUUAAACAAUCCUAUAGUAUCUCACAUGUAAAGUUGAUGAUUUAAU
RNAcentral lists this non-coding RNA (48 nucleotides) under Trypanosoma brucei brucei. Lineage: Eukaryota; Euglenozoa; Kinetoplastea; Trypanosomatida; Trypanosomatidae. The record is from RNAcentral.